This 173-nucleotide small nucleolar RNA is filed under the name Rosellinia necatrix. The record is from RNAcentral. Lineage: Eukaryota; Fungi; Ascomycota; Sordariomycetes; Xylariales; Xylariaceae.
CGGUCUUUUGCCAUGCUCGGUCAGGUUUGCUCUACUACCUGAUCUUGAGCCGGAUGCCCUUGUCAUUCAUGAUGAGUGCGCAUAAGACAAGAUCAACUACAGUGAUCUUUGAGUACGGAACCGAGUUGGCCUUUUGGCGUCGAGGUCUUCGUAAUUUAUCACUUGUUACAUCA